CCCUUCCAGAUAAGAAAUUGUCACCACAGAUGCAUGCCCUCAGGGUGGGGCUCAGUGUGGCAGAUCAGCACAGUUCAAGGACAUUGCUCUGUGCAAGACCGCACAGAACACAUCCAUGUUCUGGGACUGUGAGUGGUGCACCUAACUCUUACUAAGCACUUACUAUUGUACCUGAGAGGAAGGCAUGUGCUUGCACGGUCAGACAAAAUUUUUGACCGUCUUCCAUACACCACCACCGGGGUGGAAGACUUCCAUUCCUGCCUCUUCCAGGGGAGUGGCGCCUCCACCCAGAGGUGCUGCGUCCAAUCUGGGCCCUCUUUGGCAGAGCAGAGGUGGAUCUCUUGCCUGAGAGACGUUGAACCUCUGCCCCCUAAGGUUCUCCCUGACAGAGAUGACCAGCCCUCUAGGCCAGGAUGCACGGGCUCACCCUUGGUCCCGAGGGUCUGCUGUGUGCUUGUCAACUGCUUCCUCUGAUUUAGCUGACACUUCAGAGAGUUCUUCAGAAGGGUCACAGGAUGUUACUGGUGGCCCCCCUUCUGGUCAGGCCGAAAAUGGCUCUCUCUGCUCCACAGUCUUUGUCGCAGCGUGCUGUAGCACCUCCCAGACAAGAAAGACCUACUGUCUGCCUAUUGGGAGGUCAGAUCUGGCAACCCUCAGUGCCUCCAACUGUGGGUUUGGCCUGAACAGCUGCUGAGCAGCUGCAUAGACCCUGUCAAGCAGACUAUCAUCGCCAAAGUGCCGUCCACCCACAUCCAGCACGACAACAGGUGGAAGCUAUUCUGGCACUGGUGUAUAAGCCGGAGUGAAGUCCAGUACACCGUGCCUACCAUCCUGGAGUUCAUGCAGUCCCUCUUGGAUGACAGCAGGUCUCACUCUAUUCUGAAAGUGUAUGUUGCGGCAAUAUAAUGUUGACAAUGACACAGUGGGAAGUCCCAAUCUGGUAUCCCUCUUCCUGACAGACAAGGGAUGAAACAAGCCGGAAAUAGUGUGCCCAGUACAGGCCAUGAGAGGCUAAAUUGCAGCUACCACGGGCAAUCGGCGGUUAGAACAGCUGUUCCUCUGCUAUGAUGGUCCGAAUUAAGGUUGUGCUUGCUUGGAGAGAGCUCCCACUUGAAUGUGGAUGGCAUUGGCCAUGCAUAUGGGAUGAGUAACCAUCCCCUGCUAUCUGGCAUGAGGUGCCACUCUACUAGGAGUGUUUCCACAUCAUGGGCUGCCCUGAGAGGUGUACCCCUGAAGAACAUAUGUGCCACUGCAUCAUGAGCAUCACUGGGCACAUUGUCUAGAUUCAGUAAGGUCAAUUUUGCCAUUACCCAUCUACUGGGGGUAGUCCUCCUUCCAGGGUCCCCUUAAUCUACUCAAUGAGGUGGAUAGUCAGGAUUCCUCGUGACUCUGCUGGUAGAAGUCAUCCAGUGCUUUAAACACCGCCUCUGGUGGUCAUCAGGGAUGAAGUAGAACAAAAGCUACAAAUGUAACUACAGUCUAUGAAUCCCGAGUGACCGCCAGAGCGCUCUGUCACUCAGAAUCCUUGUGAUCCUGUGAGAAGAUUCUGUAGGAACAGUUCCCCUGAUAACACUAGAAGAUAUAGUCUCUUGGUUUGUCCAGAGGUCACAAGUGGCAUUGUUGAUAUACAUACUUGAACUUUGCAUUGGCGACUGGAAUACUUACUUUAAUAGGUACUUUAAGCACUGCCUAUUGUGGCCAUUUGGGAUUCAUAGAACUGAUUUUACACACUGUAGAGUUUUCCUUUCAGCUUUAAAUCAUCCCAAACUUUGGACGCAACUCUAUUCUUUUUCUCUUCUUCUAUUUUACAAUAACUGUUGUCUACGUCACCUGUACACACAAUCCUCAGUUGCUGUAAGAAAAACUGUAUCAAUGGUUUCAAAUUACUCCAGUUACUUAAGGAAUCAUUUCAGCCCCAAACUGUUCAGAAUUAAUUUGGCACAUAAAUGGCAUUUUAUAUGAUUUUGUAAAUUCCAGUGUUGUCUUCGAUUUUUAAACUUUAGCAAAAUAUAGAAUGUUUCAAAAUAGUAAUGAAUAGGAAACUGAUUGAGUUUUUUUUAGUAGAAAGUAUUUUUAAAUCAAAUGAAAUACAUUUUAUGUGUGUGAUCAUCAAAUGACCAUAUAACAAAAAGGGUAUUAUACAAUUAAAUGUAUUAAAUAACAGAGAUUCCAUGUGAUUAUUCUGUAGCAGUGCUGUCCUGUAACACGGCCAUCAGUCCUACCUUUGGACCAGAGCCAGUAUGUGUGAAGUGCUGCUGAUCAGGUGAUGGUUGUCUGGUAGGAAAACACUGAUUCCUGACAAUAAAUGCCUUUAAUCCCA
Etheostoma spectabile (orangethroat darter) is the source of this 2320-nucleotide long non-coding RNA. RefSeq lists it as uncharacterized. The record is from RefSeq and is a predicted model, not a curated record. The transcript has 3 exons. NCBI's taxonomy places the organism in Eukaryota, Metazoa, Chordata, Actinopteri, Perciformes, Percidae.